UAUAGCCUAAGAAAAUGAUUUAUCUCAGCAAAUUCAUAAUUAUCUCAGCUCCAAAUAUCAUCAUCUUCCUCAUUUGAAGCUUAUAGGUAACAAAUUUUCAAUUAGCCAUAACUCCUUCGUUUUAAGUCCGAUUGAUGCGAUUUUUGUGGCCAUGGAACGAGCAUGAGAUUCUCUACUCAUCAAGCCCAGAAAAUCAAGACAAACCGAGAGGCGAAGGGAUCGACGGUUUUGGCCUAGGAGUAUUCGGCCAAGACUAAUGCGUAUAAACAAUUUGGAUUGGAAAGCAAGGAGUACCUAGACUUGGAGUGACUAGAAGUUCAUCAUUUUUCCGGGAGUCUGUCUUACCAUGUACAGACCGGCUUCCGUGACCGCUGCAGUAGUACAUUGUGUGACCAGUCAUGACCUAGGACAAUAUUAUAGUUUUGGAAAAUGUUUAUAACGAUGUUAGAUUUACGUAGCCAGUGUUUACAAAAUAACUAUUAAUGUUUUCAUAAUUAAAUGCUUCCGUGUUAUAACAUAA
Molecule: long non-coding RNA, 520 nt
Organism: Mercurialis annua (annual mercury)
Lineage: Eukaryota; Viridiplantae; Streptophyta; Magnoliopsida; Malpighiales; Euphorbiaceae
Exons: 3
Source: RefSeq, a predicted model, not a curated record